UCUAAGGAUGAGUGAAAGUAAAAUUUCAUUCUAAAUAAUAUACAUCGGUAAUGUUGACCGUCCUCAUUUCUCUUCUUAAGGUAGUGUUUCUCUUGCAUGGGGGCCGGUAGCUCAGUUGGUUAGAGCACACCCUUGAUAAGGGUGGGGUCGAAAGUUCGAGUCUUUCUCGGCCCACCAAUAAAAGAUCAUGGGGGAUUAGCUCAGCUGGGAGAGCGCCUGAUUUGCAUUCAGGAGGUCAGCGGUUCGAUCCCGCUAUCCUCCACCAAAAAACACUUAGUUAUAAAAAACGUAAAUAAAAAUAAUAAUUAAUAUCAAUAUCUAUAUCCGAACAUUAGUAAUGUUAUUAGCUAAUGUUCAAAAUAAAAAUUUGAUUCAACACAGAAUUUUUUUCUG
This 393-nucleotide transfer RNA is filed under the name uncultured marine bacterium. RNAcentral's name for it is "partial contains 16S ribosomal RNA, 16S-23S ribosomal RNA intergenic spacer, and 23S ribosomal RNA". The stretch from base 101 to 174 matches the Rfam family "tRNA". The record is from RNAcentral.